Molecule: long non-coding RNA, 1746 nt
Organism: Lolium perenne
Lineage: Eukaryota; Viridiplantae; Streptophyta; Magnoliopsida; Poales; Poaceae
Source: RefSeq, a predicted model, not a curated record
GAUGCCCCCCAUAGGGGGCCUCACAGGCGUUUGGAUUUUGGGCCGUUCGAUCGAGCUGACGUGGCGCGAUCUCGGCCGGCCGUUCGUCCAGGGCGCUGAGGCCCUCCCGCAGACCCACUUUUUAUCCAUGGGUCGGUAAAAAGCCCGCCCGGCCCGGCCACGGUCUCUCCCCAUCCCCGCGCGUGACUCUCCCCCAAUCCUGCGCCUCCACCGCGUUCCUCUGGAAUCGCCGUCGCGGGCGACAGGCGGCCUUUCCCGUGCCCAGCUGAGUGUGGGAGAAGUACAUCGUCGCCGUCAGAUUCAUCCUCGCCGAAGGAAUCGUCCUGAGAGAGCCGGAAUCGACCUAGGCCGCUCGCGGCGGCUGCCCUACCUCCCGCUCGGCCGCGACCCACCCACGCUCGCCGGCGGCUGCCCUAGCUCCCGUUCGGCCGACGCAAACAAGCUUGGGAAGGGGAAAAGGUGGAGCUCGUCAAGAGAUGGGGUGGCGUUGGGGAUUCCCUCAUCUCCAUGUUGUUGGUGACAAAAAACUCGAAACCCUAGAUUACUAUGUGUGCUAUUUAAGGAGAAGAGAAUGGAGUAGGCAGAGACGUGAAGGAGCCGGAAGUGAUUGUUGCUAGCUUCUUUGCGGAAGAUAGGUGGCUGUCACAAGAGAAGAAGAAGCAAUACUUAAUUACAACAUGUGAUUGGUGCUGCACUACGUGCCCUGUGACACCCCACAUCUCAUCUUGAUCGAUGUGAGAUUAGAUCUUAGGAUGGCCUGAUGCAUGCUACUGAAGUGAUUUUUUUUUGUCUGACUUAUGUCACAAGCAUUGGAUGGAGAACAUGCCACCCAAGCCCACACUGUGCGGAUGCAUGGAUCUCAAAGAGGAGCAUCUGUUGGACGCUGCCGUGGCAGUUGCAUUUGUUUUACUAUUAGUAAUUUACUUGUAUGCAUGCUCUCAUUUUUUAUUUUUAUCAGUCCACUUGUGCAGUUAACAUUUACACGGUCAGCUCCUUUAAUAUAUUUUAGAAAUAGCCAAGAUUUUGGUGUCAACUCUACUUGAGAGAAGGGGAGACAGGACUAAGUCGAAGCCUCAGAUCUAAAAUUGAUCUACUGUUAUUAAUUUCAGGCAAUUAGUUGAUCAGGCAAUGCAAGUACACUGUGCACCUGCUGCUAACUGAGUUUAAUAGCCUCCUCUGAUGUAGGGUCAUUGGUGAAGGCUGGUGCACUAGAUUUUCACUUGGUCUCAUUUGUUAGUUUGAUAUGCUUCGUUAGGUGCUCAUUUGCACCUUCCUUUCUAGGCUUUGCAGGCAAAAUAUUAUUAGUUGCACGAGUCGAGAUAUUGUGUACAAAAUCCCCAGUGGCGGAGCCAUGCCUUAGCUGUGUAGUCAAUUGACUACACAGUUUUUUUUGGCAACAUAAGCUGAAAAUUGCAAAAUUUAAUUAAAAAUUAUACAAAUAUUCGUAUUUGACUACAUAGUUUCAAGCUGACUACACAGAGUUGAUAUGCUGGCUCCGCCACUGCAAAUCCCGCAGUCUGUAUCUAAGGACAAAAUUCAUGAAUAUUUGCUGCCGCAUAAGUGUUUUUUCCCUCUUAUUACUAAGCGCUAGACUGUGGCUAUACAAGUUCUUCAUUCCAUUUUUGGUCGUUUAAUGCUCAAUGCUGACUAACAAAACGCUAUGUUGAUGUCUGAAGUUUGAAUGUAAAUUGAUUACUCUUUCAACACUAAAGUGCAUCCUUUAUAUUUUGUCCGAGAUUCGUUUUC